RNAcentral lists this transfer RNA (73 nucleotides) under Candidatus Melainabacteria bacterium. RNAcentral describes it as "tRNA-Met". It matches the Rfam family "tRNA". Rfam says of the family: Transfer RNA (tRNA) molecules are approximately 80 nucleotides in length. Their secondary structure includes four short double-helical elements and three loops (D, anti-codon, and T loops). The record is from RNAcentral. Lineage: Bacteria; Bacillati; Candidatus Melainabacteria. RNAcentral also lists the same sequence under 5 other names.
GGCACGGUAGCUCAGUCGGUAGAGCACGCGACUCAUAACCGCGUUGUCGGCAGUUCAAUCCUGCCCCGUGCUA